AUGUUGUCUAUAUAUUCCUGGUGGAACAAUGAAAAAGAACAAGAAGGAUGCAGACGUUUUCUUUGCAGAGGUAGACUUAAGGGGCACAUAUAUAGAGACUGUAGAAGUAAUGGACAUACAUGCUUCUCAGUGUCAUAAAGGCCCCUUCUGUGAAUUUGUGUGAAUGGGUUAUACAGGUAUCUAAAGGUCUGCAUGGAGAAAUAGUUUUUAAAAAAACCAACAAGUCAAAGAGAGGAGUGGCGGCUGAGAAGGUAGCCUGUGAAAGCUUACCAAGGGCUCUAAGACUAGCAAGGCUAUUGAAUCUGCAAGAACCAAUACACUAAGGACACCAACAGUCUGCUGAAGCUCUACCGGGCCACUAGCACACAUUAGCAUCCGCAAAGAACCGCAUCCAACAGCUAUCCAGAUGCUCCUGGUGUGUCAGUGUGACCCCCUGCUUCCGAGUAGGCAGGUGGGUUUGGCCUCCCAACUGUUGCACCAGCUAGGCAAGCACAAGUCAGCGUGCAAGUAUUUGAGUAAACUAUGUGAAUGAAUAAAGGAAUGUGUUGAGUAAAUAGCUGCUAUUAAUAAUAAUCAAUUAUAUUAUUAAGAUCAGCUUAAUGAAUAAAAGGUGUUCUAACAAACAUUGUUUGUGAUCUGUAUCUCCCUCCUGUUUGAUCUCCUAGGAGAAAAAAGGAAAUUUACAACACCAGAAUUGAAAAAUUAGGUUCAGAAAAAAAUCUGAAGCUCUGUUUUUAGACAGAUGUUUACUUUGCCAGAAUCACACCAAGUGCUACAGAAAACUUUUCUUUUCGCACACUUCCUUAUGCUUUAGAAGAUCAGUUGGAUGGCAAAAAGGGUCCUUACAGAAGGCUGUCCUAACACAGCACUCUGCCAGAACGCUACAUGCAGCAUCGAGCUUUAUGAACAGACAAGGUACUGGCAAGCACGUCUGCUCUUUGGAUCCAAUGCAGAGACCUCUCCAACUACGUGUUCUGACUGAGGGACCUGUGAUCUUCCUCUGAACGUAGACAAGAACAAGAAAAAGAGCAAGAGGCCUCUUAUAUUACUGACGAAAUGCAGGUGGCCUUCAAAAUGGAUAUGACCACUGAGGUACUUUGUCGCAAUGCUACAAAAUUGUAGAACCUUGGUGUCAAGGCAAAUGGAGCCAGUAUUGAGAAACUUCAUCGGAAAAGAAAUAAAGAUUUUCCUACCUGGACAUUCUUGUACAGGAUCCUGCAAGACAGCAGCAGCGGGAUCACUACAGGCUUCGGCAAGAUACCGGUGUACAUCCCUGCUCCGCAGGAGCUCAGUUCCAGAACCAUCCGUGUAGACAAUGAAGAACCUACACAGCCAG
Aquila chrysaetos chrysaetos is the source of this 1336-nucleotide long non-coding RNA. RefSeq lists it as uncharacterized. The transcript is spliced from 4 exons. Lineage: Eukaryota; Metazoa; Chordata; Aves; Accipitriformes; Accipitridae. The record is from RefSeq and is a predicted model, not a curated record.